GACGAACCGUGCGAACGUUGUUCGGAUUCACUGGGCGUAAAGCGUGCGCAGGCGGCUUUGCAAGACAGAUGUGAAAUCCCCGGGCUUAACCUGGGAACUGCAUUUGUGACUGCAUGGCUGGAGUGCGGCAGAGGGGGAUGGAAUUCCGCGUGUAGCAGUGAAAUGCGUAGAUAUGCGGAGGAACACCGAUGGCGAAGGCAAUCCCCUGGGCCUGCACUGACGCUCAUGCACGAAAGCGUGGGGAGCAAACAGG
This 253-nucleotide ribosomal RNA is filed under the name uncultured bacterium. Its description in RNAcentral is "partial 16S ribosomal RNA". It matches the Rfam family "Bacterial small subunit ribosomal RNA", at positions 524 to 776 of the family's 1533-position model. The record is from RNAcentral.